UACGUAGGCAGCGAGCGUUGUUCGGAGUUACUGGGCGUAAAGAGUGCGUAGGCGGUUUUCUAAGUUUGGUGUGAAAUCUCCCGGCUUAACUGGGAGGGUGCGCCGAAGACUGGAAGGCUAGAGUAUGGGAGAGGUAAGCGGAAUUCCUGGUGUAGCGGUGAAAUGCGUAGAUAUCAAGAGGAACACCAGUGGCGAAGGCGAGUCCCUGGACAACACCUGACACUGAGGCACGAAAGCUAGGGGAGCAAACAGG
RNAcentral lists this ribosomal RNA (253 nucleotides) under uncultured bacterium. RNAcentral's name for it is "partial 16S ribosomal RNA". It matches the Rfam family "Bacterial small subunit ribosomal RNA", at positions 524 to 776 of the family's 1533-position model. The record is from RNAcentral.